GCUAAGGUGGGUCCAGCGGCCGCGGUAAGACAGGGGUCCCAAGCUUGGUUCGGAUUGACUGGGCGUAAAGGGUGCGUAGGUGGCGAGAUAAGUCUGACGUGAAAUCGCCGGGCUUAACCCGGAAAUGGCGUUGGAAACUGCCUUGCUCGAGGAUUGGAGGGGGGACUGGAAUACUUGGUGUAGCAGUGAAAUGCGUAGAUAUCAAGUGGAACACCAGUGGCGAAGGCGAGUCCCUGGACAACUCCUGACACUGAGGCACGAAAGCUAGGGGAGCAAACGGGAUUAGAUACCCUAGUAGUC
RNAcentral lists this ribosomal RNA (300 nucleotides) under uncultured Chlorobium sp. RNAcentral's name for it is "bacterial SSU rRNA". It matches the Rfam family "Bacterial small subunit ribosomal RNA", at positions 496 to 795 of the family's 1533-position model. Lineage: Bacteria; Pseudomonadati; Chlorobiota; Chlorobiia; Chlorobiales; Chlorobiaceae. The record is from RNAcentral.